GCAUUCUCAACAGAAGGUCAGGGAAGCCCACCUUAGGAGAUGGGAGAUGCAUAUGUAGCCUCACCCCUCCUAGAAUUAGAAGACUUCUUGGGGGUCUCCUGGGGAUGGCAGCACCUGGAUCCCCAGCCCUAGUCUAGUAGCUAAGCCUCUACUUGAAAUGUUGAAUGGAAAGGAUGAUGAUCCUUCUAAUGGAAACCAGAAUUCAAAGGGGCCUUUCAAGAAUUGAAAUAGCAAUUCCUUCAGGCCCCCGUCCUGGCCCUCCCAGACUGAGCUACUUCAACAGAGAUCCAGGAGGCCAGCAGCGGCCAGUUAAUGACCACAGGAGAUACUUCUUUCCCCAACUGCAGCUUGUCAAGGAUAAGGGAGGCUCAUCAAAGAACUCACUCCAGGAGGGAAGCCCUAUAUCAUUGGUUAGCAGGGUCACGGUAACUCCUGGCAUGAAAGGUAUAAUCAGUGGGAUUGUCGAAACACGCCUGACUCCCUUCUCCACCAAAGCCCCAGAUAAGGACCAUUCAGAUCAGGGGGACAUACCCUGGAGAAGACUGACAUACUGAUCUCAUGCUGAGGGCAGCUGGCAAUUUCAGGUAUCUCUUGGUGCUAGUAAACACAUUUUUUGAGUGGAUAGAAGAAUUCCCCGCUACAAUUGAAACAGCAGCUGAAGCAGCUAAGGCAGUAGUAAGAGAGAGAAUCCCCAGGUUUGGGCUCCCAGGAUCCCUACAACAAAUGAUGGUCCAGGACUUGAAUCUCAAGUGACAAAGGGGAUGGCUGGACCUUCCUCUCAGCCCAGAGACCUCAAUCAAUAGAGAAAAUAGAUCAAAUCAGAUCGGGAAACAGGUGUUAGCCAAGCUAUGUCAGGAAACUCUGACUGCCCUACUCCACAUGCGGUCAGCUCCAGGUUAAGUGCCCUUGAACUUAAUGGGAAAUGAACUCCCAUUUCCAUAGCUGGAGAGAAAAGACACCUCAGUCCCCUUGAAAUGGAACAACUCAAGUGUGCGCUCCAGUUAGGAGAAACCAGGAAAGCUCUCAUGGAAUAUGGGACCCAGUUGCUGCUUGCACUCACUGACCCAGCCCCAGCCUUCCAGCCAGGAGCCUAGGCGCAUCUGAAAAUCUGGAAAACCAGCAGCCCGCAAGCCCUGCUCACCCCUAAGUGGAGCAGACGCCACCUGGUGACCUUCACCACCCUCCCUGCUCUGAAGUCGCAGGGGCCACUCCAUGGGGACACUAUACUCUAGCGAAGAGGCCCCCAAGCCCCAGCCUCCAGAGAAACAAGCUGGGGCCAUGGGCCCCUUGACCACUCGCGUGAACCAUGCUCUGACCUGGAGCUUCUUUUCCGAAAUACCACCAAAAUGGGCCAGGGACACUCAGGUGCAUCCAGCCCAAAGACCUGGAGUCCUGCCUUUUCAGGAGAAUGUGACAGUGCUGAGUCUAGUGUCGCUGGCUCACAGGCAGCCAUGGACAAAGACCUCGAACCCGGCACUUCAGACCAGGGUUCCUGAUGGGUAGUGGCUGCACUUACACCUGGGCUCAGGGCUGUGCGCAAAGAGCCCCGCCCCCUCACUGCUGACCGGGACCCUAUAAAGCAGCCCCGCCCACAGCCUACAGGACAGCCUGUGCUCUGGACCAGGAGCUCACACCUCUCUGUUCUCUGAUCAGGGAAUAAAGCUUUCCUUUGCUUCC
This is a long non-coding RNA of Bubalus bubalis (water buffalo), 1677 nucleotides long. RefSeq lists it as uncharacterized. The transcript has 2 exons. The record is from RefSeq and is a predicted model, not a curated record. Lineage: Eukaryota; Metazoa; Chordata; Mammalia; Artiodactyla; Bovidae.